Long non-coding RNA from Zonotrichia leucophrys gambelii, 3286 nucleotides. RefSeq lists it as uncharacterized. Lineage: Eukaryota; Metazoa; Chordata; Aves; Passeriformes; Passerellidae. The transcript is spliced from 3 exons. The record is from RefSeq and is a predicted model, not a curated record.
GUGAUCUGCAGGCAAGAGAGCCAGGCCUUAAUCACUGUGCAAACUGCCCCAGCAGCCAUUCCCCAGAGUUCUGUGGGGCACAGGGCACCCAAACCUCCUGACACAGCCCGACCCUGCCUCUCCAGCUGCUGGGCAAAAAUCCAUUGUGGUUCUAGCACUGUCAAAUAACAGCAUGGCCCCAGCCCUUGGCGAGCAGCUCAGUGCUGUUGUCAGCCAGCUGCCAGAACUCUGCACACCUUGUUUGGUGUUUCCAGCCAUGCUGCCAAAACAACCAGGGCCAUGAGCAGAGUGACUCUGGGCUCUGCAGGGCCUCGGCAGCAUCUCCAGGCCAGGUGAGGAGGGAGCACUUUUCUUCCUUGGCACUUAGUGUUGCUAAGUCACAGAACCUGCUUCAUUUCACAGCAGAGGAGGCUGGCUUUGGAUGGCUUUUUCCUGGUUUUUUUACUCCUUGAUGAUCCAUGUGUGUAUGCAACCCAGCCUUUCCAAAGAUGGAUGUCUCCAGUGCUCUCACAGGUCAGGGCUGGGUUUUCAAAAGUACUGAAAAACCAACAGUCCCCAUUGAAAACUUAAAAAUAUCUUGGCUGCAGUUGCUAAGAGAGUAUGAAUCCCUCAAGGCAAGGAAUAUUCCUUGAAUAUCAACUAUGCUGGGAUUGCCUCAUCCGCAAGACUGUGAUGAUACUGUAAUAUCAUUACCAUAAAGAUGGGAUUACUUGUAACUUUUGGAAUUGAUCCCCCCUUUUCCCACAAUGCCAUGAUCCAGUGGGCCGAACAAUGUGAGCCUCAUUUUCCUACCUCUAAUAUAUGCAAAUGUAGCCAAGUAGUUGGAGCUAACAACAGUCCCAUCUUUCUUUGGAAGCCUCGAUUCUCUUGGAUCAAGGUCGACACCUGUCACACGAGGAGGUAAAGCAAAUUCAAUGAAGCUACUAAACUGAUAUUUUAUAAACCCAGUAACUUCCCAGCUAACAAGUCCACCCAAAACACGGGCAGGUCAGUGCUGUGCUCAGGGAGCUGCAGAACACUGAACCAAACAACAGCUGGUAAGUUAAAUAAAGUAGAAAUAACAAAUUAUUGAAAAUAUCAAACAUCUAGAAAAUGGCAAAUUCAGUUAAAAGUCUAUUGCCAAGUGAAACCCCUUGUGCCUAUUCCCACUGGGGCUUCUGAAAUAAUUUUACUUCAUGAAGCUUCACAGUUCUCCAGUGGCCUUCCCAGCCUAACCAUGCCAUGUGCUCCUGUUACUGGGGACACACAUCAGACUCAUCCUUAACUUUGUGGCCUUGGAGAAGAGCUGUUGUUGGCAUAACUUGUAAAAGACUCCCCACCCUGAAACAGCGGCAAUUUCACUUUUACUCUCCCCAGCAUGCUGGCUCUGGGCAGGCUGGGCAGGUCACUCUUCCUGCAGGCCUGUGCUCCCACCCCACUCCCAGCCUGUCCUCUGCUCUCCAACGGGAAGAGCGGCUCUUUGAGCAGGGUUUGCACUGCUCCAUCCCAACCCUGUGUCUGUGCAGGUACCUACCAUCGUUCUGGUUGAUGGAAGACUUGUUACCAGGGACCAGGGGGUUGACUGCUGUCAGGAUGAAUUUGGGAACUGCAGAGACAAAAGUCAGAGCUGCUUCCUUUCCUGAUGAAGGAAUCCUUCUGGGAGUCCUCGCUCCUGUUUGCAGUGGAGCCAACAGAUGCAGGGGUGCAUACGAAGGAUGCAGAAAGAGUCUCAUCAAGCCCCAAACAGGUGCCCAAUGUAAGGUCUCAAAGUUCCAUUCAGGAUGUGUUGGAAAAAAUGAGCACAUCCCUGUAGCUCUCCAUCUGUGCCAUCUCACAUCUAGAGGUGAAAUGCUGUUUCCAAGUCAGCCCUGGGUUACUGAGAUGACUCAACUGGAUAUCCAAGUUCAGUUCAAGUCAGGUGAGAUCAGUUUUUGUGUUGCAACAGCUCAGGUUACAGGGAAGUUCAGGGUAUUAAAAAGUAGCUUUUGGUUUACUAUGAAGAGGUCAAAAUGUGCUCAAUAUUUAACCAGGGAAACAUGUGCCUUCCAAUAAUGGGUUUUGCACUGGAGCUGAAAUUAUUUGAGUGGGAAAGUGUGUGAGUCACACUCUGCUUUACAAAAAAAGAACAUCUCUAAAUGUGAUUAAGUUCUCUGUAUCCACGAGCUAAACUCCAAGCCACGCAGCAAAAAACACCCUGUAACUUUGGUUUCUGAACAGAAAGGCUGCAGAAAGGACAAGUUUGGAGACAGUAAUACUUCUCUGAAUCUUUUUGCACCACCCCACACAGUGCAGCUUUCUGUGUAUGACAGAUGUUUGACUCCAAGCUUCUGAGGCCAGGGGCUCUAAAGGCCUGGAAUGUCAUUCCUGAGGAUUAAAGCAGUCCCUACAGUCAAGGAUGGCCUCCUGACACCUGCAACUGCAGAAGCUCCCUUGUGCCUCUGGAGGAAGGACAAACACUGCUUGCAGAGAUACGCCAAAGGUUCCCUGAAUCUGUGUGAAUAGAAGAGAAGGUUUGAGACUGAGUUCUUGCCGUUUAAUGUUUGAAAAUGGGGCAGAUGUGUGAUUUUUGGAGUAAACUCCCUGACACCAGUACUAAAUCAGUCCUAUACCUGGGCAGAGCCAUCAGAGACACUGGGCUGAUCUGUCUGGCAAGGGCUCAUGGGGUGCUUUGGACAUGGAUUUUAGGACAGAGCUCUUUGACUUUGCAGAGGCCUGAAAUCCCAAUAGCUGUGUGUCCCAAGAGAGUGCUGGGAAGGCAGGGAAGGGCUGACCUAAAGCAGUGAGUAGUUCUGAUUAACUAAACUCCGCAGUUUUAGUUUCCCUCCCUGGCAAUUCCAGAUGAGUAAGGAUAUAAUUGGAUGGAUGUUUUAGGCUUACUUUGGCAAGUACAAAACCAACUGGAGAGUAUCAGGAGGAGUUGUCAAUUGAUUAAUAAAUUCAUAGACUGGGAGCACAAAAGAAAACUGGCAAACUGAAUUAUGUUUUCUAUAGAAUUCCCUGCCCUGGGAGCUACUCUUGGUGCCCUAUAAAGCCAGGAGGAUGCUGUGCUGAUGGUUUUCUACAUAUUCAGUGAUAUGGCAGGUGUAUUUUUUCAUUUUGCCUUUGCUCAUGUUUCUGUGGGACUGAAUAGCCUCUUAUCAUCUCUAUCCAUGUUAGAUUUAUAUUUAUCAUUACAGCCUGCAGUUCUUGGCAGGCCAGCUUGGGAGAGCCCCCAAGGCUUGCCUGGUGUCACAGGUCAGUAAAUGCAAACCGGGGCUGCUUCUUCUGCAGGACAGGACACACGUUACCUGGAAAGUGUUAUAACUUA